GAUGAAGAACGUAGCGAAAUGCGAUAAGUAAUGUGAAUUGCAGAAUUCAGUGAAUCAUCGAAUCUUUGAACGCACAUUGCGCCCCCUGGUAUUCCGGGGGGCAUGCCUGUCCGAGCGUCAUUACAACCCUCAAGCUCAGCUUGGUAUUGGGCCCCGCCGACCCGGCGGGCCCUAAAGUCAGUGGCGGUGCCGUCCGGCUCCGAGCGUAGUAAUUCUUCUCGCUCUGGAGGUCCGGUCGUGUGCUCGCCAGCAACCCCCAAUUUUUUUCAGGUUGACCUCGGAUCAGGUAGGGAUACCCGCUGAACUUAAGCAUACCAAUAAGCGGAGGA
Molecule: unclassified non-coding RNA, 329 nt
Filed under: soil metagenome
Description: partial contains 5.8S ribosomal RNA, internal transcribed spacer 2, and large subunit ribosomal RNA
Rfam family: 5.8S ribosomal RNA (bases 1-120)
Source: RNAcentral